AUGUAGCGAGCUGAGUGGGGAGGAGAGAGGGACAGAGAGCCUGCUUGCUUUAAAGAAACCAACUGGAAAGGAGCCGCUUACACUCGUGUAAGUGGCUCCUCUCCUCUCCCGCUUUGCUCCUUUAAAGAAGCAGGCUCUCUGUCCCUCUCUCCUCCCCACUCAGCGGCUCUUCUC
Molecule: microRNA precursor, 174 nt
Filed under: Podarcis lilfordi (Lilford's wall lizard)
Lineage: Eukaryota; Metazoa; Chordata; Lepidosauria; Squamata; Lacertidae
Source: RNAcentral